CUGCUGUCCUGCACUGACUCAGAUGAAGUUGCCCCUCAAACGUAUCGUGUCCUACAACCGGACCAGUAGCGAUUGCUCCAUCAAAGCUGUGGUCUUUAAGAUUAUUAGUGGAAAGAUGAUCUGUGUGGAUCCUGCCUCUGACUGGGUCAAUAACCACAUGAAAGCAGUGGACCAGAGAACAAAAGGACCUGCUACUGGAAAACAAACAUCCUCCAAACACUGAAGUUAACCAGCUAAAGGCUGUGAAAUACAUGCGAUUAUACGUCACAUACACAUAGUACACAAGUAAAUAUAACUGUGUACCAUGAAGAACUAUGUUAAAUAUUGGUAACAUUCUGUAAUUGGUGUUCUGGACAGGCCAGUAAAUGUUUUGGCAUUCUAGCGGCCCCUGCUGGCUGAACAGAAAAACACAGUAGGAAGUAGUGAAAUAGGAAGUGUUCAGGUAGAGCACAUUGGAUUGAGUGCUACAAAAUCCACCAUAAUCUGUUAAUUACUAGUUUAGCAGGACAGUGUUAUUCCCUGUGAGUAAUACUAUUUUAUUAUUGCUCAUGUGUGGUUUAAGUGGAUGUUUGGAUAAUGAAGUUGAGAUGAUGUCUAUCACUGGUUGUUGAAUCUUCACCAACUGUCGAGUGCUUUAAGAUGAUUAGUGGAAAGAUGAUCUGUGUGGAUCCUGCCUCUGACUGGGUCAAUCACCACAUGAAAACAGUGGACCAGAGAACAAAAGGACCUGCUACUGCAAAACAAACAACCUCCAAAAACUGAAGUUGACCAGCUAAAGGCUGUGAAAUACAUGAGAUUAUACGUCAGUACACAAGUAAAUAUAACUGUGUACCAUGAAGAACUAUGUUAAAUAUUGGUAACAUUCUGUAAUUGGUG
This is a long non-coding RNA of Electrophorus electricus (electric eel), 876 nucleotides long. RefSeq lists it as uncharacterized. Lineage: Eukaryota; Metazoa; Chordata; Actinopteri; Gymnotiformes; Gymnotidae. The record is from RefSeq and is a predicted model, not a curated record.